GUCGAGGGGCAGCAUGAUUGAAGCUUGCUUCAAUCGAUGGCGACCGCGCGCACGGGUGAGUAACACGUAUCCAACCUGCCGAUAACUCGGGGAUAGCCUUUCGAAAGAAAGAUUAAUACCCGAUAGCAUAGUAUUUCCGCAUGGUUUCACUAUUAAAGAAUUUCGGUUAUCGAUGGGGAUGCGUUCCAUUAGAUAGUUGGCGGGGUAACGGCCCACCAAGUCAACGAUGGAUAGGGGUUCUGAGAGGAAGGUCCCCCACAUUGGAACUGAGACACGGUCCAAACUCCUACGGGAGGCAGCAGUGAGGAAUAUUGGUCAAUGGACGAGAGUCUGAACCAGCCAAGUAGCGUGAAGGAUGACUGCCCUAUGGGUUGUAAACUUCUUUUAUACGGGAAUAAAGUGGAGUAUGCAUACUCCUUUGUAUGUACCGUAUGAAUAAGGAUCGGCUAACUCCGUGCCAGCAGCCGCGGUAAUACGGAGGAUCCGAGCGUUAUCCGGAUUUAUUGGGUUUAAAGGGAGCGUAGGCGGGUGCUUAAGUCAGUUGUGAAAGUUUGCGGCUCAACCGUAAAAUUGCAGUUGAUACUGGGCGCCUUGAGUGCAGCAUAGGUAGGCGGAAUUCGUGGUGUAGCGGUGAAAUGCUUAGAUAUCACGAAGAACUCCGAUUGCGAAGGCAGCUUACUGGACUGUAACUGACGCUGAUGCUCGAAAGUGUGGGUAUCAAGCAGGAUUAGAUACCCUGGUAGUCCACACAGUAAACGAUGAAUACUCGCUGUUGGCGAUACACAGUCAGCGGCCAAGCGAAAGCAUUAAGUAUUCCACCUGGGGAGUACGCCGGCAACGGUGAAACUCAAAGGAAUUGACGGGGGCCCGCACAAG
RNAcentral lists this ribosomal RNA (876 nucleotides) under uncultured bacterium. RNAcentral's name for it is "bacterial SSU rRNA". It matches the Rfam family "Bacterial small subunit ribosomal RNA", at positions 61 to 929 of the family's 1533-position model. The record is from RNAcentral.